GAGUUUGAUCCUGGCUCAGGACGAACGCUGGCGGCGCGCCUAACACAUGCAAGUCGAACGAGCGAGAGAGAGCUUGCUUUCUCGAGCGAGUGGCGAACGGGUGAGUAACGCGUGAGGAACCUGCCUCAAAGAGGGGGACAACAGUUGGAAACGACUGCUAAUACCGCAUAAGCCCACGGCCCGGCAUCGGGCAGAGGGAAAAGGAGCAAUCCGCUUUGAGAUGGCCUCGCGUCCGAUUAGCUAGUUGGUGAGGUAAUGGCCCACCAAGGCGACGAUCGGUAGCCGGACUGAGAGGUUGAACGGCCACAUUGGGACUGAGACACGGCCCAGACUCCUACGGGAGGCAGCAGUGGGGAAUAUUGCACAAUGGGGGAAACCCUGAUGCAGCGACGCCGCGUGGAGGAAGAAGGUCUUCGGAUUGUAAACUCCUGUUGUUGAGGAAGAUAAUGACGGUACUCAACAAGGAAGUGACGGCUAACUACGUGCCAGCCGCCGCGGUAAUAC
RNAcentral lists this ribosomal RNA (504 nucleotides) under uncultured bacterium. RNAcentral's name for it is "bacterial SSU rRNA". It matches the Rfam family "Bacterial small subunit ribosomal RNA", at positions 9 to 526 of the family's 1533-position model. The record is from RNAcentral.